Long non-coding RNA from Homo sapiens (human), 311 nucleotides. Ensembl annotates it as CAMSAP1 divergent transcript. Its record names the gene CAMSAP1-DT. The record is from Ensembl. NCBI's taxonomy places the organism in Eukaryota, Metazoa, Chordata, Mammalia, Primates, Hominidae.
GCCCUGGUCCGCGCCUGCCCCGUUGCUUUCCUCAGGCUCUAAGGCCCGCGGUGUGGAGCGCGGCGUCUGUUGAGAUUGUCUAUUUUUUCUUGAGUCAGCCGUCUGAAAAGAACACGAGGUGGACAGGGCAGAGCGGUCAAGGAAAGCCAUAGGAGGAGGGCACUUAUUUGAGCAAAGACCGGCGGGACGUGGGCGUCGAGGACAUCCUGAGGUUCCCACCAAGUGGACAUUGGCUUAUUCUACAAGCAACAGGAUGAGGCCCCUGGACUCCUCACUAGCAAAAUAGUGCAGUGACAGCAACACCCCCCCCC